This 488-nucleotide ribosomal RNA is filed under the name uncultured bacterium. RNAcentral describes it as "partial 16S ribosomal RNA". It matches the Rfam family "Bacterial small subunit ribosomal RNA", at positions 28 to 507 of the family's 1533-position model. The record is from RNAcentral.
GACGAACGCUGGCGGCGUGCUUAACACAUGCAAGUCGAACGGAAAGGCCCUGCUUUUGUGGGGUGCUCGAGUGGCGAACGGGUGAGUAACACGUGAGUAACCUGCCCUUGACUUUGGGAUAACUUCAGGAAACUGGGGCUAAUACCGGAUAGGAGCUCCUGCUGCAUGGUGGGGGUUGGAAAGUUUCGGCGGUUGGGGAUGGACUCGCGGCUUAUCAGCUUGUUGGUGGGGUAGUGGCUUACCAAGGCUUUGACGGGUAGCCGGCCUGAGAGGGUGACCGGCCCCACUGGAACUGAGAGAGGGUCGAGACGCCUACGGUAGGCCGCAGUGGGGAAGCCUCCUCAAUGGGCGGAAGCUUGACGGAGCAACGCCGCGGGUGUGAUGAAGGUCUCCGGAGCGGAGAAAUGUGUUAGUAGGUAAGAACAAAUGUGUAAGUAACUAUGCACGUCUCGACGGUACCUAAUCAGAAAGCCACGGCUAACUACGUG